AUUGAACGCUGGCGGAAUGCUUUACACAUGCAAGUCGAACGGCAGCACGGACUUCGGUCUGGUGGCGAGUGGCGAACGGGUGAGUAAUGUAUCGGAACGUGCCCAGUCGUGGGGGAUAACGUAGUGAAAAUUACGCUAAUACCGCAUACGAUCUAUGGAUGAAAGCGGGGGAUCGCAAGACCUCGCGCGAUUGGAGCGGCCGAUAUCAGAUUAGGUAGUUGGUGGGGUAAAGGCCCACCAAGCCAACGAUCUGUAGCUGGUCGGAGAGGACGACCAGCCACGCUGGAACUGAGACACGGUCCAGACUCCUACGGGAGGCAGCAGUGGGGAAUUUUGGACAAUGGGCGAAAGCCUGAUCCAGCCAUUCCGCGUGCAAGAUGGAGCCCCUCGGGUUGUAAACUGCUUUUGUACAGAACGAAAAGGUUUCUACUAAUACUAGGAGCUCAUGACGGUACUGUAAGAAUAAGCACCGGCUAACUACGUGCCAGCCGCCGCCGUAA
This 500-nucleotide ribosomal RNA is filed under the name uncultured bacterium. RNAcentral's name for it is "partial 16S ribosomal RNA". It matches the Rfam family "Bacterial small subunit ribosomal RNA", at positions 30 to 523 of the family's 1533-position model. The record is from RNAcentral.